GAGAACUACAAAGUUGCUGCUAACUACUUAAUAAGCUAAAAGCUAAUUCUCA
This 52-nucleotide transfer RNA is filed under the name Walchia hayashii. Its description in RNAcentral is "tRNA-Ser". The record is from RNAcentral. Lineage: Eukaryota; Metazoa; Arthropoda; Arachnida; Trombidiformes; Trombiculidae.